Long non-coding RNA from Musa acuminata AAA Group (dessert banana), 4155 nucleotides. RefSeq lists it as uncharacterized. The transcript has 3 exons. The record is from RefSeq and is a predicted model, not a curated record. Lineage: Eukaryota; Viridiplantae; Streptophyta; Magnoliopsida; Zingiberales; Musaceae.
GGGAGCAUGGGGCCGAGGAGCAUGACGCAAGCGGGCUGGCCGCGUAGGUGUGUCUCGGGGAGCAUGGGGCCGAGGAGCACGACGCAGGCGGGCUGGCCGUGCAGGUGUGGUCUCGGGCAUCAUGCGGUCGAGGAGCACGACGUAGGCGGGCAAGCCGCGCAGGUGUGGUCUCGGGCAUCAUGCGGCCGAGGAGCACGACGUAGGCGGGCUGGCGCGCUGAGGUGAACUCGGCAGUCUUCAGCCGAGGACACCACUUAAGCGGGCAGGCCGCGCUGAGGUGGACUCGAGCAGUCUUCGGCCGAGGGACAUGGCUUAGGCUGAGGGGCACGGCUCAAGCGGUAAGGCCGCCCUGAGGUGGACUCGGCAGUCUUUGGCCGAGGGAUCCGGCUCAAGCCGAAGGACGACUCAAGCGGGCAAGCCGCGCUGAGGUGAACUCGGUAGUCUACGGCCAAGGGACACGGCUCAAGCGGGCAGGCCGCGCUGAGGUGAACUCGGCAGUCUUCGACCGAGGGAUACGGCUCGGGCCGAGGGACACGGCUCAAGCGGGCAGGCUGUGUUGAGGUGGACUCGGCAGUCUACGGCCAAGGGACACGGCUCAGGUGGGCAGGCCGCGCUGAGGUGAACUCGGUAGUCUUCGGCCGAGGGAUAUGGCUCGGGCCGAGGGACAUGACUCAGGCGGGCAGGCCGCGCUGAGGUGGACUCGGCAAGUACACGGCUCAAGCCAAGGGGCACGGCUCAAGCGAGAAGGCCGCCCUGAGGUGGACUCGGUAGUCUUCGGCCGAGAGACACGACUCAGGCGGGCAGGCUGCCCUAAGGUAGACUCGGGCAACAUGGUCGAGGAGCACGGCUCGGGCUAAGGGAUACGACUCAAGCGGGCAGGCCGCGCUGAGGUGGACUCGACAGACUACGGCCAAGCCGUGUAGAUACCGAAGGGGGUUAGGUUGGAGCUAACCGCGAAUCGGGAGGCAGUCAGGUAUAUACUGAGCCUUCGCUCGGUAAAGACUGAGGCAGGGCUUAGAUUGCUUUUCAUGAGGACUACAUCGGGUAGCCACCGCGGGUCCUUGACUUCCUUUAUGGAGCCCGCUGCCAGAAGUCGUCCCUACUCCUCACGGUCGCCCAGGCUUCCGUCGCGAUUUACCGGUUAGCCCGUUGGAGCAUCUCUGGCACCGUGGUGGGAGGUCGCUCCGUGAGGGACCAUAGGAAUCUGGAGGCUCGCAGGCCUAUCAUAAACGCCUGCACUAACAAAGAGGGGUGAGUGUCCAGCAAACCCCAGAUUUGCGUGGCAAAGCGAUCCACAAAAUGUGAGAGGGGCUCGUACUCCCUUUGUUUGAGUCCGAGGAGUAGUGUCGUCGAAGGCUUUGGCCGUGCAUAGGCUACGAAGUGGAGCUCGAAGUCAUUGGCGAGCUGGUCGAAGGAAGCAAUCGUUCCGGUCUUCAAGCCGCCAUACCACGCGUGGGCCGGCCCUCUCAGAGUGGUAGGAAACGCUCUGCACAUCAGGGUAUCAGAGGUUCCGUAUAGCACCAUUUGGGCGCGAAAAGUAGCUACAUGGUCCGCUGGGUCGGCGAAGCCAUCGUAAGCGUCCAGAGAGGGGAGCUGGAAGUCCGGGGGGACUGUCUGAUCCCGUAUCUCGGGCGUGAACAGAGACCCUUGGUGUGCGUCCUCCCCGAGCUCUCCCUUGGACCUGCGAACCUCUUUCUGCACCUCGUCGAGUCACUGGCUGACGAAGCGCAACUAGGCCCGCAGGGAGUCGGAAGAGAGUGCCUCGGGUUCCGGGCAACCGCUCAGGUUUACCAUCAUUGGAUCCCCGAGUGGGGCCGGUCGGACCCGAGGCGAAGUGGGGGGCACCGGAAGUGUCAUGUGGGCCCGAACGGGCGCCUUGCGUUGUCGCAGUGGUUCGAUCGUAGGCGGGUGCACCGGAUGAGAAAUGAGCGGGAUAAUGGUUUGCACCAUUUCCAUCAGAGUUCGGACUUGAUGGGCGAGGUCCUGAAAGGCCUCGGAUGACAUGGGCGUCGAGUCGGCUGGGGCGCCGUCGGGCGGCGACAAGCCCGGGUCGUUAAAUAUUCGCCAAUAUCGUUCCGAGGUCGUGGCGGGGUGUUCGUCACGAUGGUCUCCGUGCGGGGGAUGUUCCCCCGAGGCUCCAGUCGGGUGCGACCUCUCAGCCGUGGGCUCAUCUGAGCCGCUCGGGUGAUCACCCGACAUUUCGGGCCCUCCUUCUAGCGCCAAUCUGUCAUGGGAAACAAUCUUUGAGCCGUGGCCUCGGGGCCGACGCGGCUCGGUUCGGGUCCGGAUGACGGGGAUCUCCCUGGGACGUUCCUCGAGCCCGCCGAGGUGGUCUGAUGCGGUGGUCGGGACGGGAUCGUCGUUUCCUCCGGGCAGGAACUCCUCGCCUUCGCAUCCAACGGGGACUUUCGGCUUCGCACCUGCACAAAGGUCGGGUCGGGGUGCUCGGCCCGACCCCUCCGACAAUCAAGUCAGUUGAUAGUGGUUAGGGGGUGUUUUUUCACCUUUUUCCUUUUUCUGUUCAGAAUGCGAGGGUAUUUAUAGGGAAGCUUACUGUGCCCGCUUGCAAGGGGCAGGCUGGUGCGUCUGACAUUGGUGUUGGCGUGGUGUGAAGAACCGAGCCUGAGCAGGCGUUAAUGCGUCUCGACCGGCAUUUUGGUCCGUUUGACCAGGUGCUGUCACGUCGAUCGAGGCGUAAGGCGUCAUCUGACGACAGUCGAAUUUUAUCAUAAUUACUAUCCUCAUCAGAUAGCAUACUGGUUCUUUAACUAGGGAGUUUCCCCCAAACUUUAUUUAUGCUGAGAAAGAACCAAUUCAUAAUCACAUUAUCAUUUGUCUAAAUUUCUAAUUUAAUGGAUGGAUCUAGUAAGCACAUCAUAUAUAAGAAUGAUCCAAUUUCAUGUUACUGAAUGUUAUGUUUAUUCCAUUCAAAUGGCCAUUAUGUAUGUACAUGCCUUUCAACUCCUAAAUGUAUGGUGCAGAUUAUCUUGAUUCUUACAUUUAAUUUGGAUUGACUUAAUUUUCCUAUCUACUUAGCAUAGCGCCUCUCAUGCAGGGGUUGAUCUCUGCUAAUGGUGCUAGGAAAUUUCGAUGACGGUUGAAAUAUCCUUUGAACUACAAUAAAUAAUUCUAGGAAUUGAUGGCUACCUCUGCUGGCACACUAGUUGAUGGUUACAUAUGAGCAAGACUAAGUUUAUCUGUGGGGAAUUGAUUUUUUUCAUGGUGACUUUUCUCCAAACCCUUCAUAUUCAGGAAACACCACUGAGCACGAUUCAAGUUUUAUUGGCAAUAGUUGUGUAUUAGAGAAGGUACGCUGAUAUAGACCAUGCUACUUUAGAGAAUGAGAUGAUCAUAUGCACUUGUACUAAUGUAGAUGCUUUUGGAACUUCACAUGAAUAUGAGUGUACACAAGCAUCUAUUUUCACACAAGAUUUGUUUCACCCAGACUAUAGAUUAAGUGUUACGUAAGAUAAUGAACUUACUUGAGUUAGUUAAAGAUUUAAUGGUAUAUUUUGAUUUAUUAUGUCUUGAAAUAUUUAAUGCUCACUUAUGUAUGGAUCAAGGAUAUGACGAAGAAGAGAUGGAUGAUGGCAGACUCUCUAGUUCAUGUUCCAAUUCUGGAAGAAACCCUUACAGAUGAUUUUUUUUGUUGUAGAUGAUGAAGUUGGCAGAAGGUUAAAUCAGAUGGUACCCAUCCCUCCUGUUUAAAAUCAAUGGAGAAAUUCCUUCUAUUGAUGAAGCCCCUUAUCAUCAAAGGCUACUAGAGAGGGCUUGCUGUAUGAUAUUUUAUCCUUGUCUUCGUAGUUGCUAACUAGUGGGAGGUUUGAUAUAGCAUCCUCUCAAGACAAAGCUCUGUCGUUAUUCUAAACAUUAAUUUUUAUUUUUUGUAAUAGUAUUUUUCUCACAUUCAAAACUUUUUUUUCUAUUUGAUUUUCAUUUGGAGUUUCCCGUGAACUAUGGAUAUCUAGAGUUAGUAAUGAAAACUAAAACAUUGUUCGCCUGAUAUUUUGUGUAUAAUUUUAAUCAAAAUGUCACUGUUCAUGAGCCAUCAAUACUGCUUGAACUUUGUUUUUGUAGCUCUAGUAUAUGGCAACUCAUCCUCCUUUUCAUUUUUGGUUACUAGAAGGAUGUUUGAUAUAACAUCCUCUAAAUGCA